CUGGGUCCACAACAGCCCGAAGGCAUGGGAUCUGCUGGGAAUUUAGAAGCUAAGCAGGGUCAGGCCCAGUUAGUGCUUGGAUGGGAAACCGCCUGGGACUAUCGUGUGCCCCCCAGC
Molecule: ribosomal RNA, 117 nt
Filed under: Carlito syrichta (Philippine tarsier)
Lineage: Eukaryota; Metazoa; Chordata; Mammalia; Primates; Tarsiidae
Source: RNAcentral